This 487-nucleotide ribosomal RNA is filed under the name uncultured bacterium. RNAcentral's name for it is "bacterial SSU rRNA". It matches the Rfam family "Bacterial small subunit ribosomal RNA", at positions 28 to 507 of the family's 1533-position model. The record is from RNAcentral.
GAUGAACGCUAGCUACAGGCUUAACACAUGCAAGUCGAGGGGCAGCACUAGGUAGCAAUACUGAGGUGGCGACCGGCGCACGGGUGCGUAACGCGUAUCCAACCUUCCCGUUACUCUUGGAUAGCCUUCCGAAAGGGGAGAUUAAUACCUGAUGGUGUUUGAAUUCCGCAUGUUAUUCAAACUAAAGAUUUAUCGGUAACGGAUGGGGAUGCGUGACAUUAGGUAGAUGGCGGGGUAACGGCCCACCAUGCCUACGAUGUCUAGGGGUUCUGAGAGGAAGGUCCCCCACACUGGAACUGAGACACGGUCCAGACUCCUACGGGAGGCAGCAGUGAGGAAUAUUGGUCAAUGGUCGGAAGACUGAACCAGCCAAGUAGCGUGAAGGAUGAAGGUUCUAUGGAUUGUAAACUUCUUUUAUACGGGAAUAAAACCACCUACGUGUAGGUGCUUGUAUGUACCGUAUGAAUAAGCAUCGGCUAACUCCGUG